Molecule: non-coding RNA, 114 nt
Organism: Caenorhabditis elegans
Lineage: Eukaryota; Metazoa; Nematoda; Chromadorea; Rhabditida; Rhabditidae
Source: Ensembl
CUCAGUCAGCAAAAAUAUAAUUAUCUAAUAACUAAACUUUGAAUGUUUCAGUAUGUCAUCAAGACACGACACCAAUUUAUCCAAAAUAAUAUUAUGUGGAUCUGAAUGUCUACC